ACAUUAGUGGUUCAGUGGUAGAAUUCUUUCCUUCCACAUGGGAGACCUGGGUUUGAUUCCCAGCCAAUUUA
RNAcentral lists this transfer RNA (71 nucleotides) under Loxodonta africana (African savanna elephant). It matches the Rfam family "tRNA". Rfam says of the family: Transfer RNA (tRNA) molecules are approximately 80 nucleotides in length. Their secondary structure includes four short double-helical elements and three loops (D, anti-codon, and T loops). Further hydrogen bonds mediate the characteristic L-shaped molecular structure. tRNAs have two regions of fundamental functional importance: the anti-codon, which is responsible for specific mRNA codon recognition, and the 3' end, to which the tRNAs corresponding amino acid is attached (by aminoacyl-tRNA synthetases). tRNAs cope with the degeneracy of the genetic code in two manners: having more than one tRNA (with a specific anti-codon) for a particular amino acid; and 'wobble' base-pairing, i.e. permitting non-standard base-pairing at the 3rd anti-codon position. The record is from Rfam by way of RNAcentral. Lineage: Eukaryota; Metazoa; Chordata; Mammalia; Proboscidea; Elephantidae.